RNAcentral lists this ribosomal RNA (506 nucleotides) under uncultured bacterium. RNAcentral's name for it is "partial 16S ribosomal RNA". It matches the Rfam family "Bacterial small subunit ribosomal RNA", at positions 30 to 523 of the family's 1533-position model. The record is from RNAcentral.
AUUGAACGCUGGCGGUAUGCUUAACACAUGCAAGUCGAACGGCAGCAUGGUCUAGCUUGCUAGACUGAUGGCGAGUGGCGGACGGGUGAGUAACGCGUAGGAAUAUGCCUUGAAGAGUGGGACAACUUGGGGAAACUCGAGCUAAUACCGCAUGUACUCGAGAGAGCAAAGCUGGGGACCUUUAGGCCUGGCGCUUUAAGAUUAGCCGGCGUCCGAUUAGCUAGUUGGUAGGGUAAAGGCCUACCAAGGCGACGAUCGGUAGCUGGUCUGAGGGGAUGAUCAGGCUCACUGGAACGGAGAGACGGUCCAGACUCCUGCGGGAGGCAGCAGUGGGGAAUAUUGGACAAUGGGGGGAACCCUGAUCCAGCAAUGCCGCGUGUGUGAAGAAGGCCUGAGGGUUGUAAAGCACUUUCAGUGGGGAGGAGGUUUGGAAGGUUAAGAGCUAUUCAAAUGGACGUUACCCACAGAAGAAGCACCGGCUAACUCCGUGCCAGCAGCCGCCGUAA